RNAcentral lists this unclassified non-coding RNA (201 nucleotides) under plant metagenome. RNAcentral's name for it is "partial contains small subunit ribosomal RNA, internal transcribed spacer 1, and 5.8S ribosomal RNA". The record is from RNAcentral.
UCUCCGUUGGUGAACCAGCGGAGGGAUCAUUAUCGAGUUUAUAACUCCCAAACCCUAUGUGAACUUACCACUUGUUGCUUCGGCGCGCGCUUCGGCGCCGCCGAGGACACUUAAACUCUUUAUUUUUAUAAGCAUUUCUGAGUGGCCGAAAGGCAAAAUACAAAUGAAUCAAAACUUUCAACAACGGAUCUCUUGGUUCUG